Molecule: long non-coding RNA, 307 nt
Filed under: Cyanistes caeruleus (blue tit)
Lineage: Eukaryota; Metazoa; Chordata; Aves; Passeriformes; Paridae
Description: lncRNA (ENSCCEG00000005123.1)
Source: RNAcentral
AAUGUCUGCUUGAGGUAAAAUGUUCUCGGUGCAAUGGCUGUCAGAAGAAUAACUGUUAUCUCCCAGAGUCUGGCAAGCACUUAAAGGUCAUAGUUUAGGUUUUCAGGUCCACAAUGGUAUCUUGUUAAGCACAGAGUGUCCAUAGCACGUGUAAUGCUUGCCGCCAGCUCUCUAUGAAGAGUGCUUAAUGCUCUUCACACACGGUACGCACCUUCUGUGUGAUCCUCUACAAAAACAGCUGGAGCAGUGGAAGGCAGCAUGGACUGUGAGCAUGCUGGGGCAAGUGAUGACUCCUGGGGACAAUAAA